GUAGGUCUGAUACCUGGAGGUUUUUAUUGUCUAUAUUAUGACCUGUUAAUGAUUAAAAAUGAAUUUUUAAAACUUCUUAAAAGUAUAUUUCUGAUAAGCAUUAUAGAGCUCAGUCUUGUUAUUUUGGGGGUGUUUUUUGUUUUUGUUUUUGUUUUGAACCAAACUGACAUGAUCUGCAUGUGUUCGUUGCUAUACAAUGGUUACUACUAUUUGUGGUGCUCAGGCUGAAGCUAACAUCUAUAAGGUAAGUCCUCUACCACUGAGCUAUAUCUCCAGCUGGAAUACAAUUCAUAUUUCUUGGAGAUUUCAGUCUCAGAGCAUCUUUGCUUUUUACCCUAGAACGUUCCUCAAUUUUUUUUUUACUUCAGUAUUGAGUUUUUAAAGAUUCAUUUAUUUUAUAUAUAUGAGUACACUGUAGCUAUCUUCAGACACACCAGAUUGCAUUACGGAUGGUUGUGAGCCACCAUGUGGUUGUUGGGAAUUGAACUCAGGACCUCUGGAAGAGCAGUUAGUGCUCUUAACCACUGAGCCAUUUCUCCAGCCCCAGUACUGAGUUUUUAAACUCUUUACAUUCACCUCCAUCUGUCAUAAUUUUAUUGAAUAUAGAAUUUGUCAACAUUUUUUUUUCACUUCAGCCCUUUCUAAAAUUACUGGGUGUGACUAGUGGCGAGCAUGCGUGCUAUGCAUCUUUCCACUGUGUGUCCAGGAGAUCAAGUUCAGAUUGACAGGCUUGCUUGGCUAGUGCCCCUACCUGCUUUGCCAUCCUGCAUCUCCUCCAUCAGUCAUGGAAGGUCUGUCAGCAUCUCUGUAGAAGACUCCAUAUCUUUAUUCGGCUUCAUGAAUCUAACUGUCCCACAGAUGAUGCUAUGGUCUUUCUUGUCCUCACAUUUGGUUUUCCCUAUGUGUAAGUUUCAGCCUGGAAACUUGUUUUGACUUAGGCUCAAAUUUUCUAUUUCUUUCUUCAGCUAAUUUUACUAUACUACUAAGUCUUUCAAAUAAAAUCUCUCUAGCAAUUCCAUGUGGGUUUUGUUUGGUUUUUGUUGUUGUUGUUUGUUUUGGGGUUUGGUGUUAGUGUUGUUGUUGUUUUGGUGGUUUUUAUGCCAAAUUCAUCAUCCACAUUGUCUCUACGUCUGUUAGUAUUAUUCUAUCUUCAUGGUUCUAUUAUUAUAAUCAUUAUUAUUUUUAAUAACAAGGUCUCUCAGCUGUGGUCCAGUGUGGCCAGCCACUCAUGAGUAUCCUUUGGUCUCAGUUUCCUAAGUAUUGAGGUUACUUCUUUUUGUCUUGACAAGUUAGAUUUUCUUCCAUUUUUGCAUGUCUUAUAAUCUUAGCCUUCAUGAGAUAUUUUUAAUAAAAUAAUAAAUGAGUAGGACAGAUAAGAUGGUUCACAGGUAAAGGCACUUGCUACUGAGCCUGAAGUACUGUGUGUUAUUACACUGUAACAGAAUAAUUGUGUGUCGGGGAUUAAUCCUCGGACUAGGGAAUGAUUCAUGGUUUAGGCUACAAGAGUCAAGCUGUGUGAACACGACCUAUAGCUGAGUUGCAUUUUGUUGUAGCUUCAGUUUACUGGUUUGCUUGUUUAUGGAUUUUGGUUCAUGAACACAAGAUAUACAAAUUGGGGGUCCACUUAACUUGUUUAUGUUUUCCCAGUCUACAACAAACCAUAAAAUAUUGAGUAACAUGAUAGCUAGUCUUCCUACUGCCAUCUGGUCCUCCUUCCCUCACCAUUCUGCCAGGGACGGGCAUGGCCAUGGGUGUCUUCCUUUGGCAGUCUACAUAUUAGUUCACUUGCAUCUCUUUAAAUUCCAGUACUAAUUUAAAUUAGUUUUUAUGAACUUAUUCUGAUGGUUUUGAUUGUUAAGGUAGAAGAGAUAGUUCUUGAAACUUCUAUGACUUAGUGCUAUUAGGUAGACACUAUUGUUAUCUUUAAAAAUAUAGUAAUCACCAUUCUUACUUGAUAUGUCCUGCCUUUUGAGUCAUUUGCCCUUAAACAUAGAAAGGUAAUUUCCAUUUAACAGUACUGCAUAUAUUGAUGUUUUAACAUCUAAGGUUAUAUAUAAUCCUUAAUAAACUAUUGCUUGCUACAUAUCAAAUACCUAAACUUUCAUCCAGCUAGUUACUCCAGUGCUAUAGAACAACUAGACUAAAAUUUGAUUGCUAUUUCUUUUGUAAAUGAUCAUCCAUUCUAUACUAGACUUUGUCCUUAAACUAUGAGACCUUCAAAAGGAUUAGAUGCAGGAAUUAUUGAUAAAUCUUAAGUCUGUCAGAUGUUCAAUCACACAGUAAGAGAGAUAACUCUGAAAACUGUAUAAAAAGAUAGACAUUUCUGGUAUGUUUCUUCUAUCAUGUGCCAGCCACAUUCAUUUUUCAGUUUGUGCAGUAUUUUGUGACAUUAUUUAUACUCGAAAAGUUCUCUAUUCAUAUAUUUUUAAAUGACAUAAAAUCUCAAUACUGUAUAGCACUAGUGACCCAAGAUAGAGGAUUUACUUUUAAAUCAUCUAGUAAUAAAUCAUAAAUUUAUCUCAAACUCAGAAUAUGUCAGUAAGAGCCAAUAAUAUAAUGGCAGGCCUGUGAGGAAUGAGAGGGAAUUCUAAUUUACAUAUAACUAAAACAGGAUAGGCUGCUAAUCCACCAUCAUACAAUCAGCCUUGAAAGACUUUUAGUUAAAGAACAAGCAGACAAUAGCAGGUUCAAGUACUAAAUAGUAUAUUAAUAAAGACAAAAGUAAUAAACGUGCAACAGAGAUCAGAGACUACAUUUGCAUCUUAGGCACAUUUCCAAAGAAACUGGGCCUUUGUAAGAAAGCAAAAGCAAAUUUUUAACAGCAUGUUCUCUUACAAUACUAUAAUUCUGCAACUAAGAUGUGAAACAGAAAGGAGGUAACAAAAGAUGCUCCCAUAAGAAGAAAAUGUUUAACAAAAGACAGUGGAUCAACUGGGCAGACAGUAAAAGCAUGAACCACAGUCAGUCUUACUCUGCAAGUAAAAAUGUAAUCCUAGGUAGAUUUAGACUCAAAUGUUAAAACCUAAAGCCAGCUCUUUCUAAGGGGGAAAAAAUAUUGAAAAAAUAUCUGGGCAAGGCAGCAAUUUCUUGGGCAAAGUAUAGAGGACACUAAUCAUUAGAAAGCUCCAUUUGAAAAUAAGUAGGCAAGCUAUGUAGAGCUAAAUAUAUCUUCAGUGAUACCUCACAAAAGACUUGUACCCAAAAAUAGAUAAACGUCUAUACAUCCACAAUAAAGAGCUUCAGUAACUGUGCUAGUUUUAUGUCAACUUGACCCAAGCUAGAGUCGUCUGAAAGGAGGGAACCUCUACUGAGAAAGUGUCUCUAUAAGAUCUGACUGGCGAGAAGGCAUUUUCUUAAUUGAUUUGAUGGGGAGUGCCCAGCCAUUUGGGGGACCCAACCCUCGGAUGGUGGUCCUGGAUUCUAUGAGAAAGCAGGCUGAGCAAGCCAGGGGAAGCAAGCUAAUAAGCAGCUACCUUCUGUGGCCUCUUUAUCAGCUCCUGUCUCCAGGUCCCUGCCCUGUUUGAUUUCCUCUCCUAACUCUCUUCAAGGAUAGACUAUGAUAUGGAAGUGUAAGCCAAAUAAACCCUUCCCUUCCCAACUUCCUAUUGGUCAUGGUGUUUCAUAACAGCAACAGUCACCCUAACUAGGACACUAAUGCUCUUUUUUUUUUAACUCACAGAGGACUUAAACAGAUAUUUUUCUAAAGGGGAUACACAUGAAAAGAUAUUUAAGAGUUGACUGUACAAAACUACAGAACCAGUAAACAAAGGAAUUUGGAGAUAUCUCAAAAUACAUAUCCCACUGAGUUGGAUGGCUAGAGGAUAUUAAUAUAUAUUAUUAAAGGCAAUACUUAAUGGGCAAGAGCAAUGGGGAAACUGUAACUCAUAAAGUGAUGUUAUAAGAACUUUGGUGAAGCCAUUAAAUAUGCAGGUAACAAAUCACAUAAAAUAAAUUUUGCCCAAGAAACAUGAAAAUAUCCACAGAAUAUUCAUAAUAAUCCAAAUCUGGAAGUGAUCUUAUUCUGUUAAUAGGAAAAUAACUGAGUGAAUGGUGAGAUAUUUUUAUUAUUUAAUACUACAUUGC
Molecule: long non-coding RNA, 4083 nt
Filed under: Mus musculus (house mouse)
Lineage: Eukaryota; Metazoa; Chordata; Mammalia; Rodentia; Muridae
Description: long non-coding RNA chr16:31812824-31816907
Source: RNAcentral